UACGUAGGGCGCAAGCGUUGUCCGGAAUUAUUGGGCGUAAAGAGCUCGUAGGCGGUUUGUCGCGUCUGCUGUGAAAACCUGAGGCUCAACCUCGGGCUUGCAGUGGGUACGGGCAGACUAGAGUGCGGUAGGGGUGACUGGAAUUCCUGGUGUAGCGGUGAAAUGCGCAGAUAUUAGAAGGAACACCGGUGGCGAAGGCGCCACUCUGGGCCGAAACUGACGCUGAGGAGCGAAAGCGUGGGUAGCAAACAGG
This 253-nucleotide ribosomal RNA is filed under the name uncultured bacterium. RNAcentral describes it as "partial 16S ribosomal RNA". It matches the Rfam family "Bacterial small subunit ribosomal RNA", at positions 524 to 776 of the family's 1533-position model. The record is from RNAcentral.